Molecule: ribosomal RNA, 547 nt
Filed under: uncultured bacterium
Lineage: Bacteria
Description: bacterial SSU rRNA
Rfam family: Bacterial small subunit ribosomal RNA
Source: RNAcentral
UGGGGAAUAUUGCGCAAUGGGGGGAACCCUGACGCAUCCAUGCCGCGUGAAUGAAGAAGGCCUUCGGGUUGUAAAGUUCUUUCGGUAUUGAGGAAGGUUGAUGUGUUAAUAGUACAUCAAAUUGACGUUAAAUACAGAAUAACCACCGGCUAACUCCGUGCCAGCAGCCGCGGUAAUACGGAGGGUGCGAGCGUUAAUCGGAAUAACUGGGCGUAAAGGGCACGCAGGCGGUUAUUUAAGUGAGGUGUGAAAGCCCUGGGCUUAACCUGGGAAUUGCAUUUCAGACUGGGUAACUAGAGUACUUUAUGGAGGGGUAGAAUUCCACGUGUAGCGGUGAAAUGCGUAAAGAUGUGGAGGAAUACCGAAGGCGAAGGCAGCCCCUUGGGAAUGUACUGACGCUCAUGUGCGAAAGCGUGGGGAGCAAACAGGAUUAUAUACCCUGGUAGUCCACGCUGUAAACGCUGUCGAUUUGGGGGUUGGGGUUUAACUCUGGCGCCCGUANCUAACGUGAUAAAUCGACCGCCUGGGGAGUACGGCCGCNAGGCUA